AGGUAGUAAUCUUAAUUAAAACCUAAUUAUAAUGGCGGCUCUUGUUAAAUUAGAGGAACUUGUCUCUUAAUCGAUAACCCACGUUAAAUCCUACUUUAAUUAUAAAUUUAUAUACCGCCAUCUAAAGAGAUUUUUAAACAAAUUUGUCUUAAUAAAAUAUAAAAAGUUAGGUCAAGGUGUAGUCCACAUUAAAGCAGAAGAUGAGUUACACUAAAAUUCAUUUAAGGAUAGUUUAAUUAAACCUAAACUUCAAAAAGGAUUUAUUAGUAAUAUUGAACUAAUAAUUCAAUAUGAAAAUUCUUACAAGAGUGC
This 312-nucleotide ribosomal RNA is filed under the name Phlegra sp. WM12. RNAcentral describes it as "partial 12S ribosomal RNA". The record is from RNAcentral. Lineage: Eukaryota; Metazoa; Arthropoda; Arachnida; Araneae; Salticidae.